This 434-nucleotide ribosomal RNA is filed under the name uncultured bacterium. Its description in RNAcentral is "bacterial SSU rRNA". It matches the Rfam family "Bacterial small subunit ribosomal RNA", at positions 958 to 1392 of the family's 1533-position model. The record is from RNAcentral.
AACGCGAAGAACCUUACCCGGGUUUGACAUAUACGGGACCGCCGUAGAGAUACGGUUUCCCUUGUGGUCGGUAUACAGGUGGUGCAUGGCUGUCGUCAGCUCGUGUCGUGAGAUGUUGGGUUAAGUCCCGCAACCAGCGCAACCCUUGUCCUGUGUUGCCAGCACGUAAUGGUGGGGACUCGCAGGAGACUGCCGGGGUCAACUCGGAGGAAGGUGGGGACGACAUCAAGUCAUCAUGCCCCUUAUGUCCAGGGCUUCACACAUGCUACAAUGGCCGGUACAGAGGGCUGCGAUACCGUGAGGUGGAGCGAAUCCCUUAAAGCCGGUCUCAGUUCGGAUCGGGGUCUGCAACUCGACCCCGUGAAGUCGGAGUCGCUAGUAAUCGCAGAUCAACAACGCUGCGGUGAAUACGUUCCCGGGUCUUGUACACACCG